This 534-nucleotide ribosomal RNA is filed under the name Junonia almana (peacock pansy). RNAcentral's name for it is "partial 16S ribosomal RNA". It matches the Rfam family "Bacterial large subunit ribosomal RNA", at positions 1808 to 2611 of the family's 2925-position model. Lineage: Eukaryota; Metazoa; Arthropoda; Insecta; Lepidoptera; Nymphalidae. The record is from RNAcentral.
CAAAAACAUGUCUUUUUGAUAAUAAUUUAAAGUCUAAUCUGCCCACUGAUAGAAUAUUAAAGGGCUGCAGUAUAUUGACUGUACAAAGGUAGCAUAAUCAUUAGUCUUUUAAUUGAAGACUUGUAUGAAAGAUUUGAUGAAAUAUAAACUGUCUCUAAUUUAUGUUUAGAAAUUAAUUUUUUAGUUAAAAAGCUAAAAUAAAGUUAAAAGACGAGAAGACCCUAUAGAGUUUUAUAUUUUGAUUAAUUAUUAUUAAAUAUAUAAUUAAAUAUAAUAAUUAAUUAAAAUAUUUUGUUGGGGUGAUAGAAAAAUUUAAUAAACUUUUUUUAAAAUUUGAACAUAAAUAAGUGAAUAAUUGAUCCAUUAAUAAUGAUUAAAAGAAAAAAUUACCUUAGGGAUAACAGCGUAAUAUUUUUUUUUAGUACAAAUAAAAAAAAAAGUUUGCGACCUCGAUGUUGGAUUAAGAUAAAAUUUAAAUGCAAAAGUUUAAAAUUUUGAUCUGUUCGAUCAUUAAAAUCUUACAUGAUCUGAGUU